GACGAACGCUGGCGGCGUGCUUAACACAUGCAAGUCGAACGGAAAGGCCCUGCUUUUGUGGGGUGCUCGAGUGGCGAACGGGUGAGUAACACGUGAGUAACCUGCCCUUGACUUUGGGAUAACUUCAGGAAACUGGGUCUAAUACCGGAUAGGAUCUCCUGCUGCAUGGUGGGGGUUGGAAAGUUUCGGCGGUUGGGGAUGGACUCGCGGCUUAUCAGCUUGUUGGUGGGGUAGUGGCUUACCAAGGCUUUGACGGGUAGCCGGCCUGAGAGGGUGACCGGCCAAAUUGGGAAUGAGAUACGGCACAGACUACUACGGGAGGCAGCAGUGGGGAAUAGUGCACAAUGGGCGGAAGGAUGAUGCAGCAAAGCAGCGUGCGGGAUGACGGGCUUCGGGUUGUAAACCGCUUUCGCCUGUGACGAAGCGUGAGUGACGGUAAUGGGUAAAGAAGCACCGGCUAACUACGUG
This 468-nucleotide ribosomal RNA is filed under the name uncultured bacterium. RNAcentral describes it as "partial 16S ribosomal RNA". It matches the Rfam family "Bacterial small subunit ribosomal RNA", at positions 28 to 507 of the family's 1533-position model. The record is from RNAcentral.